This is a long non-coding RNA of Carassius auratus (goldfish), 248 nucleotides long. RefSeq lists it as uncharacterized. The record is from RefSeq and is a predicted model, not a curated record. Lineage: Eukaryota; Metazoa; Chordata; Actinopteri; Cypriniformes; Cyprinidae. The transcript is spliced from 3 exons.
AAAACGGUUUAAAUAAAUUAAGUAAAUUUCGCGGCUAAAGUGAUCACGUGUGCAGCUCCGCAGGAAAAAAAAAAAUCUGCUUUCCUCAGCAGAGACGUCGACUAACCAUACUCCUCACAACUCCUGGUUAAGUAAGUUUCGUAACUUAAUCGAGGUCACCUGAAGGACGGCGUUCCUGAGUUUCCUCAGCAACGGCAAGACCCGCACUCCUCUCAUAUCGGGAAGUUUAACUAGUUUCGCGGCUCAAG